Vespula pensylvanica (western yellowjacket) is the source of this 1359-nucleotide long non-coding RNA. RefSeq lists it as uncharacterized. NCBI's taxonomy places the organism in Eukaryota, Metazoa, Arthropoda, Insecta, Hymenoptera, Vespidae. The record is from RefSeq and is a predicted model, not a curated record. The transcript has 2 exons.
UGUAAAUACUUAUGUGUGAGUCUGAGUUACGGAUGACGUAGCUUCCGGAGAACACUGGAAUUCCGUUUAGCGGAAUGGCCGGCUAGUUGUGAAAUCAGCUGCACACAAACUCUCCAAGCAUUGUUGUAGGUCGUGCUAGGAUUUAUCUCUCGGUUUAGUCUGUCUGUCUGUCUGUCUGUCUGUCUGUCUGUCCGUCUGUCUAUCUAUCUAUGUCUCUCUUUCUCUCUCUUUCUGUUCUCUCAGAGUGCCAACUUCCCCUCUUACCACCCGUCGCCAUCCUCUUUUGGCCUAGAGAGAAGACCGAGAGCACAGCGCAGAAGUGUGGAAUGUGGGAUGCGAGAGGGGUGACAGAGAGGAAAGGGGAAUAUUAAAGCUGUUUGAUUUGCUGGCUCCGAGUCAAGAUGACGAUGACGAUUAUGAUUAUGAUGAUGAUAGUGAUGACGGCGAUGACGACAACGACGACGACGACAACGACAACGACGACGAUGAUGGCGACGAAAGUGUCAAUGUCAAAGUAUUUUACCAGAUGGAAACCCCAGAAGUUCUGAGGUGAUAUUAACGAUCAAUGUAUAUACGUAUAUAUGUGUAUAUAUAUAUAUAUAUAUAUAUAUAUAUAUAUAUAUAUCUCAAGAUAUUUCAGACUACUUGUUUACAAAUGUUAAAACUACAAGGACCAAUGUGUAAUACUACAAAUCUUAAUACUAGCAGCCUAAAAUAUCUAAAGAAUAAGAACAAUUGAUUUCUAAAAUCAGAUAAUAACUUAUGGCCCACCUUAUAUUAGAACAAGUGUAUCUUAAAAGAGUAUUUCUUACGUAUCGUAAUCUCACGUUGAAUGUUCCGUGAAAGUAAUCAAUUUAUAUCACUGAUCAAGUAUUUGCUUCCUUUCUUCAGGUAUAUACAUAUUAUAUAUACACAGGUGUAUGUACACAUAGUGACUGAGAGAGGGAUAGAGAGAGAAAGAAAGAGAGAGAGAGAUAGAUAGAUAGAUAGAUAGAUAGAUAGAUAGAUAGAUAGAUAGAGAUAGAGAGAGAAAAAAAGAAGAGAUGAUUGAAGAAAAGAUAAAGCAGAGUUAAAAGUUGCCAAUAUACGAUUUAACCCGGCAAAAGAAAUAUGUGUGUGUGCCAUAAAGAUUUGAGAAUAUCCACGUAGUUUCCCCGGUACGAAAAUAUACAUAAGCAGAUAUAUAUACAUGUGAAUGUGUGUGUAUGUAUAUAUAUAUAUAUAUACAUAUGUAUAUAUUGUAUGUCUGGCUAAAGCUUCAGAUUGUCAGCUCUGCCAAGUCUCGAAUAGUUGCCUCACAUACUUCUGUAAUUUGUACGUUUUUCUAUGUAAAUAUAUAAUAUCUCAUUAAAUUUUUAA